This is a long non-coding RNA of Quercus lobata, 1148 nucleotides long. RefSeq lists it as uncharacterized. The transcript has 4 exons. The record is from RefSeq and is a predicted model, not a curated record. NCBI's taxonomy places the organism in Eukaryota, Viridiplantae, Streptophyta, Magnoliopsida, Fagales, Fagaceae.
UAAACAAAGUUAUCUUAAGUUCUUAACAAAUAUUUAUAAUUUUAUACCUCAUUCCUGAACCUCAGAACCUGAUACGGUGAGACUUGAGAGGGGCGGAGAGCAGAGAAUCAGAGAGAGGCUGAGGCGGUCCAGGCGGAGGCGGAGGAGCUUCAAGCUAGCUGCCUUGCUUGAGCCUUGAGCUGUUGUCUGUUGAGCAGAUGAGAACAGACUGAACGGUGGAGACUGGAGACUAGAGAGAGGCGGAGAGCAGAGACUAGAGAGAAAGGGACAACUGCAAGUCAGAAAUUUGGAAGGGCAGAUUAGUCAUUGCAAUGGAUCUAAUGGAAUGUUUUGGAAAAGAAUUAGUUGAUCAAAGAAGAAUACAUGGAGAGUUAUCUUGGCAAAAUUGAUUCUUCUUUUGCACUUUGUCUAAUGAAAAGCCAAAAAGGAUAACUUCUUCAAGGGUUUCUGGAAAGCAAACAGUUUCUCUUUCCCAUGCCAUUGGUAGAUUCUAGUCAAGGGAUAAUAUAAUAAAAGCCUUGUAGGACAUUAUUGAUUUUUUGUUACAAAGGAGAAAGUGUAACUCUGGUCGGUUAAGAUAAUAGCCAAAAUUCUCUUCAGAUGUGCAGCCAAAUAGAUUCUUCUGUCCCAUGAAAUUAAUUUUAUAUUUGGAAUGAUGAUCUCAAUCCAUUGCAGUCAAUAAGGAAAAUCAUGGCACAUUGGAAGUUGCUGGGAUAUCUAAUUGGGCUUGAUUGGACAGUGGACAAUAAAAGCCCACCAUGGCUUUUCAAUGGAACUAUGGAAGAAGCAUAGGACCUAAAUACAAUUAACUACCUAUUCUUAUAACUCAAUUGGAAUGAACAAGCCCAGGCCAAUUGGGUAAUAAAGAUAGUAUGGGCUUAAGUUAGCCCCUCCACAAGUUGGACAGAUAUAAAAUCCACCAGCCCAACUUGAAAUGUUUUGGGAGACUGAGACCUGGAGAGACCAAUGGCCAGAGACAGAAUUUUUUUGGGCCAAUCCAAAGGAUUCUGAGAUUUAAAUUUACUUUCAUCAUUGUUCUUUGUUCAUUGAAUUGCUACAAAGGGUAAAGUUUGGUUUACCCUUUUAAUUGGGAUUCUCUGUCGUCUUAAGAUUCGAAGCGUUGUUUACUUCAAUAUUGUCUUUUUCCA